AGCCCGGUAGUGUAGUGGUCAAUCAUACGGGACUCUGGAUCCUGUAACCUCGGUUCGAAUCCGUGCCGGGCUACCA
RNAcentral lists this transfer RNA (76 nucleotides) under Candidatus Methanimicrococcus odontotermitis. Its description in RNAcentral is "tRNA-Gln". It matches the Rfam family "tRNA". Rfam says of the family: Transfer RNA (tRNA) molecules are approximately 80 nucleotides in length. Their secondary structure includes four short double-helical elements and three loops (D, anti-codon, and T loops). Lineage: Archaea; Methanobacteriati; Methanobacteriota; Methanomicrobia; Methanosarcinales; Methanosarcinaceae. The record is from RNAcentral.